This 505-nucleotide ribosomal RNA is filed under the name uncultured bacterium. RNAcentral's name for it is "partial 16S ribosomal RNA". It matches the Rfam family "Bacterial small subunit ribosomal RNA", at positions 28 to 507 of the family's 1533-position model. The record is from RNAcentral.
GACGAACGCUGGCGGCGUGCCUAAUACAUGCAAGUAGAACGCACAGUUUAUACCGUAGCUUGCUACACCAUAGACUGUGAGUUGCGAACGGGUGAGUAACGCGUAGGUAACCUGCCUGGUAGCGGGGGAUAACUAUUGGAAACGAUAGCUAAUACCGCAUAAUAUUAAUUAUUGCAUGAUAAUUAAUUGAAAGGUGCAAUUGCACCACUACCAGAUGGACCUGCGUUGUAUUAGCUAGUAGGUGAGGUAACGGCUCACCUAGGCGACGAUACAUAGCCGACCGGAGAGGGUGAUCGGCCACACUGGGACGGAGACACGGCCCAGAAUGCUACGGGAGGCAGCAGUAGGGAAUCUUCGGCAAUGGACGAAAGACUGACCGAGAAACGCCGAGGGAGUGAAGAAGGAUUUCGGAUCGUAAAGCUCUGUUGUAAGAGAAGAACGGGUGUGAGAGUGGAAAGUUCACACUGUGACGGUAUCUUACCAGAAAGGGACGGCUAACUACGUG